CGAGAAAGCCCUUCGGGGUGAGUAGAGCGGCGGACGGGUGAGUAACGCGUAGGAAUCUACCCAGUAGUGGGGGACAACUAGUGGAAACGCUAGCUAAUACCGCAUACGCCCUACGGGGGAAAGCGGGGGACCUUCGGGCCUCGCGCUAUUGGAGGAGCCUGCGUAAGAUUAGCUUGUUGGUGAGGUAACGGCUCACCAAGGCGACGAUCUUUAGCUGGUCUGAGAGGAUGAUCAGCCACACCGGGACUGAGACACGGCCCGGACUCCUACGGGAGGCAGCAGUCGGGAAUAUUGCGCAAUGGGGGAAACCCUGACGCAGCCAUGCCGCGUGUGUGAAGAAGGCCCUAGGGUUGUAAAGCACUUUCAAUUGGGAGGAAAAGCUAAUGGUUAAUAACCAUCAGCCCUGACGUUACCUUUAGAAGAAGCACCGGCUAACUCCGUGCCAGCAGCCGCGGUAAUACGGAGGGUGCAAGCGUUAAUCGGAAUUACUGGGCGUAAAGCGCGCGUAGGCGGUUUUUUAAGUCGGAUGUGAAAGCCCCGGGCUCAACCUGGGAACUGCAUCCGAUACUGGAAGACUAGAAUGCGGGAGAGGGAGGUAGAAUUCCAUGUGUAGCAGUGAAAUGCGUAGAUAUAUGGAGGAAUACCAGUGGCGAAGGCGGCCUCCUGGCCC
RNAcentral lists this ribosomal RNA (670 nucleotides) under uncultured Gammaproteobacteria bacterium. Its description in RNAcentral is "bacterial SSU rRNA". It matches the Rfam family "Bacterial small subunit ribosomal RNA", at positions 67 to 735 of the family's 1533-position model. The record is from RNAcentral. Lineage: Bacteria; Pseudomonadati; Pseudomonadota; Gammaproteobacteria.